GUGUACACAGUGCAGGGGGGAGGGAGUGGGGGAGCGGGAAUGCAGCCACAUGAGUGGCCCAUAUCCCCGAGGCUAGCCGCGGGCACCGCCGACACCAGGUCGCCGGUGCGCCGCCUCCGCCUCCGCCUCUUAUACGUGUCGAGGCUACCUUUGGGCCUCCCCCUCUUCCUCUUGGUUUCCUCGCCGCCUCCGGGCGCUGGAGGAGCCACGCCCGCGCCCGGGGCCGCGAUCCCGGCCUCAGCCUCGUUCCACUCCGCCUCGUCUGCCAUGGAUUGGUCGGCGCUUGCCGCAGCGCCGUCGUGUAGGCGUAGGGCGGGGCGAAAUGUGGGAGAGGAAAUGCUGAUGCCGCCGGACGAGGUUUCUGGCCGGAUUUUGGCCGAUCAGCUUCUAAGAGCAUCUCAAGCAGCUUAUAUGCAGCUAUAACCAUAUUCAAACUUAUUUCUAUAAACAGCUAUCUAUAAAAUAUAAAACGAUAUAUUAGUGACGUGUAAUAUACAGUAGUUCACCC
RNAcentral lists this unclassified non-coding RNA (508 nucleotides) under Zea mays. Its description in RNAcentral is "misc RNA Zm00001eb190760". Lineage: Eukaryota; Viridiplantae; Streptophyta; Magnoliopsida; Poales; Poaceae. The record is from RNAcentral.